Trichechus manatus latirostris (Florida manatee) is the source of this 687-nucleotide long non-coding RNA. RefSeq lists it as uncharacterized. The record is from RefSeq and is a predicted model, not a curated record. The transcript has 3 exons. NCBI's taxonomy places the organism in Eukaryota, Metazoa, Chordata, Mammalia, Sirenia, Trichechidae.
CAGACCAAAAGAUGAAAGGCAAAUGCUUCAUUUCAGACACUGUGGGGAAUAUAAAGAAGAAAAAGAUGAAAAAGUCCCUCUCUUCAAGCCCUCAGAGCAUAAGCAGCACCAGAUGACUAAGACGGAGAGAUAACUGAACAGGCUUGUGAACAAGGAGACAGUAGGCACAUUCAGUAGAGAGUGGUAAGUGAUGCAAAGAAGGAACAGCGAAAUUUCUGUUAUGAAAGCUCAUUGGAGCAACACUUAACGCAGUCUGGGCUGGGAUGUUCAGUGAAGGAGUCAGGGGAGGCUGUCUAGAUAUUUUAACAGAGAAAUAAAAUUAGGAAUUUUCUAAAACAGAGGAGAAGCCAUGGCAGGGAUGGGGAAAGCUACAGACUUUCGGGAAAGAAGACAGAACCUAUGCAAGGCCCAGCUGUGAGAGAGAGAGCCUGAGUACGUAUGCGCCCACGAAGAGUUCAGUGUGACCGAAAGCAAGGGGGUUAGGGAUUAAAGGAAGAGGGAUAAGUCGGAAGAGAAAACUAUGGUGCUUUCCUUUAAAAUCAGAUGUGUUGUGAUUAUGACAAUUUGUAACAUAAAAGAUAAUAUGAAAAUAUGUACUAAAAAUGCUUGACUUCUAAUAUAAUACACUAAAUAUCUAAUUAAGGAGCCCUGGUGGAGCAAUGGUUAAGUGCUAGGCUGCGAAUCAAA